CCUCGGGCGGCAGCAGUGGGGAAUAUUGGACAAUGGGCGAAAGCCUGAUCCAGCCAUGCCGCGUGUGUGAAGAAGGCCUUCGGGUUGUAAAGCACUUUCAGUGGGGAAGAAAGCCUUGGGGCUAAUACCCUCGAGGAAGGACAUCACCCACAGAAGAAGCACCGGCUAACUCCGUGCCAGCAGCCGCGGUAAUACGGAGGGUGCGAGCGUUAAUCGGAAUUACUGGGCGUAAAGCGCGCGUAGGCGGUCUGAUAAGCCGGUUGUGAAAGCCCCGGGCUCAACCUGGGAACGGCAUCCGGAACUGUCAGGCUAGAGUGCAGGAGAGGAAGGUAGAAUUCCCGGUGUAGCGGUGAAAGGCGUAGAGAUCGGGAGGAAUACCAGUGGCGAAGGCGGCCUUCUGGACUGACACUGACGCUGAGGUGCGAAAGCGUGGGUAGCAAACAGGAUUAGAUACCCCGGUAGUC
Molecule: ribosomal RNA, 464 nt
Filed under: Vreelandella stevensii
Lineage: Bacteria; Pseudomonadati; Pseudomonadota; Gammaproteobacteria; Oceanospirillales; Halomonadaceae
Description: partial 16S ribosomal RNA
Rfam family: Bacterial small subunit ribosomal RNA
Source: RNAcentral